Small nucleolar RNA from Panicum virgatum (switchgrass), 107 nucleotides. Lineage: Eukaryota; Viridiplantae; Streptophyta; Magnoliopsida; Poales; Poaceae. The record is from RefSeq and is a predicted model, not a curated record.
AUUCCAUGAUGAGGACACUCGGCGAUGUAGUCCUGGAAACAAUCCCAAGCUUCCGGGACUGACUUGUCAUAUUGUUGCUGGAAAGAUGAUAUCUUCGCCCGUAGAGC